UCAGAGGGAGGUAGAAUNCCACGUGUAGCAGUGAAAUGCGUAGAGAUGUGGAGGAAUACCGAUGGCGAAGGCAGCCUCCUGGGAUANCACUGACGUUCAUGCCCGAAAGCGUGGGUAGCAAACAGGAUUAGAUACCCUGGUAGUCCACGCCCUAAACGAUGUCGAUUAGCUGUUGGGCAGCAUGACUGCUUGGUAGCGAAGCUAACGCGUGAAAUCGACCGCCUGGGGAGUACGGUCGCAAGAUUAAAACUCAAAGGAAUUGACGGGGACCCGCACAAGCGGUGGAUGAUGUGGAUUAAUUCGAUGCAACGCGAAGAACCUUACCUGGUCUUGACAUGUACGGAACCCUCCAGAGACGGAGGGGUGCCUUCGGGAGCCGUAACACAGGUGCUGCAUGGCUGUCGUCAGCUCGUGUCGUGAGAUGUUGGGUUAAGUCCCGCAACGAGCGCAACCCUUGUCAUUAGUUGCCAUCAUUAAGUUGGGCACUCUAAUGAGACUGCCGGUGACAAGCCGGAGGAAGGUGGGGAUGACGUCAAGUCCUCAUGGCCCUUAUGACCAGGGCUUCACACGUCAUACAAUGGUCGGUACAGAGGGUAGCCAAGCCGCGAGGUGGAGCCAAUCUCACAAAACCGAUCGUAGUCCGGAUUGCACUCUGCAACUCGAGUGCAUGAAGUCGGAAUCGCUAGUAAUCGCAGGUCAGCAUACUGCGGUGAAUACGUUCCCGGGUCUUGUACACACCGCCCGUCACACCAUGGGAGUGGGGGAUACCA
This 770-nucleotide ribosomal RNA is filed under the name uncultured bacterium. RNAcentral's name for it is "bacterial SSU rRNA". It matches the Rfam family "Bacterial small subunit ribosomal RNA", at positions 651 to 1422 of the family's 1533-position model. The record is from RNAcentral.